Molecule: ribosomal RNA, 252 nt
Filed under: uncultured bacterium
Lineage: Bacteria
Description: partial 16S ribosomal RNA
Rfam family: Bacterial small subunit ribosomal RNA
Source: RNAcentral
UACGGAGGAUGCGAGCGUUAUCCGGAUUUAUUGGGUUUAAAGGGUGCGUAGGCGGAAUAUCAAGUCAGCGGUAAAAAUUCGGGGCUCAACCCCGUCGUGCCGUUGAAAUUGAUGUUCUUGAGUGGGCGAGAAGUAUGCGGAAUGCGUGGUGUAGCGGUGAAAUGCAUAGAUAUCACGCAGAACUCCGAUUGCGAAGGCAGCAUACCGGCGCCCAACUGACGCUGAAGCACGAAAGCAUGGGUAUCGAACAGG